Molecule: ribosomal RNA, 465 nt
Filed under: uncultured bacterium
Lineage: Bacteria
Description: partial 16S ribosomal RNA
Rfam family: Bacterial small subunit ribosomal RNA
Source: RNAcentral
GACGAACGCUGGCGGCGUGCUUAACACAUGCAAGUCGAACGGUAAGGCUCCAGCUUGCUGGGGUACACGAGUGGCGAACGGGUGAGUAACACGUGGGUGACCUGCCUGCCCUUUCGGAUAAGCCCGGGAAACUUGGUCUAAUACCGGAUAAGACCAUUGUGUUGAUACUGUUGUUGAAAGUUUUUUCGGUGUGGGAUGGGCCCGCGGCCCAUCAGCUUGUUGGUGGGGUAAUGGCCUACCAAGGCGGCGACGGGUAGCCGGCCUGAGAGGGUGGACGGCCACAUUGGGACUGAGACACGGCCCAGACUCCUACGGGAGGCAGCAGUGGGGAAUAUUGCACAAUGGGCGGAAGCCUGAUGCAGCGACGCCGCGUGGGGGAUGACGGCCUUCGGGUUGUAAACUCCUUUCACCAUCGACGAAGGGUUUCUGACGGUAGAUGGAGAAGAAGCACCGGCUAACUACGUG